Molecule: non-coding RNA, 403 nt
Organism: Pseudonaja textilis
Lineage: Eukaryota; Metazoa; Chordata; Lepidosauria; Squamata; Elapidae
Source: the annotation of a RefSeq genome assembly
AUCGUCCAUUUAUUAAAGAGAGGCAGAAAUGAUCCUGAGCCUAAACUAUUUAUUCUUCCUUGUACUCCUUGCAGGUGUACAGUCUGAGGUCCAGUUAGUGGAGUCUGGAGGGGAUGUGAGAAGACCUGGAGAGUCCCUCCGUCUCUCCUGCCAAGCCUCUGGAUUCAGCUUCAGCAGCUACUGGAUGGGCUCGGUGAGACAAGCUCCAGGGAAAGGACUGGAAUGGGUGGCUUUGAUAACUGCUGGUUCAAGUACUUACUACUCAGACAAAGUCAAGGGCCGCUUCACCAACUCCAAGGACGAUGCCAAAAGCCAGCUGUAUCUGCAAAUGAACAGCCUCAAACCAGAGGACAUAUUACUGUCCGAGAGACACAGUGAGAGGAAGUGAAUCUGAAGCCUGUCA